ACGGAGGGUGCAAGCGUUAAUCGGAAUUACUGGGCGUAAAGCGCACGCAGGCGGUUUGUUAAGUCAGAUGUGAAAUCCCCGGGCUCAACCUGGGAACUGCAUCUGAUACUGGCAAGCUUGAGUCUCGUAGAGGGGGGUAGAAUUCCAGGUGUAGCGGCGAAAGGCGUAGAGACCUGGAGGAAGACCGGAGGCGAAGGCGGCCACAUAGACGAAGACUGACGAGUAGGUGCGAAAGCGUGGGGAGCAAACAG
This 251-nucleotide ribosomal RNA is filed under the name uncultured prokaryote. RNAcentral's name for it is "partial 16S rRNA". It matches the Rfam family "Bacterial small subunit ribosomal RNA", at positions 525 to 775 of the family's 1533-position model. The record is from RNAcentral.